GAAAAGCCCCGCCCCUUUUCCUUACAUCUCAGCCGACUUCGCGAGUAAACCGGCAAAUCAGAGACAGCGCUGACGCAAGUUUAUGAAUAUUAAUCAGCCCUUCCUUCGCGAUAUGUGAUUGGCUGAGGAAGCCUUUAUUAAGAUGAGGAAGACGAGGAAGACGAUCACAAAUACCCAGCUGCAGAUUGAGCUGUUGAAGAUCCUGAAGAACAUGUUCCUGUUUCAGAAGAAGAUGACUAAGGAGCAGAUCAAACACAAAUACAUAAAGAAGGACGAAACAGAUACAGCAAGAUCUUACAGGAGACCGGAUUUACUGCUGGCAUCUAUCCCGGAUGAUUUCAGAAUCCCUGUUUGCUGUGUAACAAAUUAAAGGAACAUUAAAGCAAACAGAGAUCAAAUAAAGAGCUUCUGUUGCUACAUUGAUUGAUUAGAUUCUGAAUUGAGCAGGUCAGGUGG
Long non-coding RNA from Ictalurus punctatus (channel catfish), 456 nucleotides. RefSeq lists it as uncharacterized. Lineage: Eukaryota; Metazoa; Chordata; Actinopteri; Siluriformes; Ictaluridae. The record is from RefSeq and is a predicted model, not a curated record. The transcript is spliced from 2 exons.